Molecule: long non-coding RNA, 1535 nt
Filed under: Mus musculus (house mouse)
Lineage: Eukaryota; Metazoa; Chordata; Mammalia; Rodentia; Muridae
Description: long non-coding RNA chr7:42602919-42604454
Source: RNAcentral
AAACUCCAGAGCAGGCCCAAUUAUGCUGCCUGUGCUUGUUCCAACCAGACUUCCAAAGGAUGGUGCAACACCUUAGACAUCUCCUUUACUGACGCAGGGAAAAAAUUUAAUUGGGAAUAUACACGAGGAGCUGAGUGUGGUUUACGUGUCUAUAGAGAUGAAAAAGAUUUCGGAGUAACUUUCAAAAUCCAGUUACUUAAGAACACCCCAUCUUUAGGGUCGGCUGCUAUAAGCCCCAAUCUCAUUUUACAUUCCUCAUAUCCUAGAAAGCCGAGUCUUCCACAGACUGUUACCUUAGGUCCACCUGUGACUACUAUAUUCCAGCCUACUUUACCUGCUGGAUCUCCCUCCUCUGCAGAAUUGAUUUUAUCCUUAGUAAAUGCAUCAAUUGCUACUAUGCACCCAGCUAAUGCUACUCAAUAUAAAGAAUGUUGGGUGUGUUUUUCUCCUCAUUCUCCUUUCUACGAAGGGGUGGCAACAUUUGGAUCAGUUAUUGCAAUUAAUGAUUCCAGCAAACUUGGAUGGCACCCUGAAAGCCAUGAUGGGCUCACUAUAAGUCAGGUGUCUGGCAUAGGCUUAUGCCUUUUGGGGCCUUCCAUGCUUCCUCCUCAGACCUUAUUAGAGGGUUGCAAUCAGACUAUUAGGGUGGAUGCCACCUCUAGAUACCUUGGAGCACCUAAUGGUACUUAUUUAGCAUGUUUUACUGGACUUACUACAUAUAUAGUUACUCAGACCUUUUUAGAUGGCAGAGAUUAUUGUGUUGUAGUUCAGCUUCUCCCGAAGCUGACAGUACACCAUGAAGAAGAUCUCCUCCAAUUCUGGAAGUGUGACACAGAUCUAACCCGUGAUAAGAGAGAGCCUAUUUCUGCAGUAACCUUAGCAGUGAUCCUAGGCUUAGGAGCUGCAGGCACAGGAAUGGGCAUUACAUCUUUGGUCACUUCCCAACAGCAAUAUACUCAGCUUCACCUUGCUGUGGACAGAGAUAUACAAGAGCUACAGAGAGGCUUAAAAUUUUUUUAAAUUCCUUGGUCUCUCUGUCUGAAGUGGUAUUACAAAGCAGGCCAGGUCUUGACUUAGUGUUCCUUAAAGAAGGAGGGCUAUGUGCAGCCCUCAAAGAAGAAUGUUGUUUUAACUCUGACAAGACUGGCUUAGUUCAAGAUAGCAUAGACAAAGUUAGAGCUAGUUUGGAAGAGAGAAAACGAAACAGAGAGAAACAAGAAUAUUGGUAUAAAAAUUGGUUUUCUACUUCUCCUUGGGUCACCACCUUGCUUCCCACACUUUUGGGACCUUUUAUGGGUAUUUUGCUGCUUUUGUCUUUUGGCCCCUGGGCCUUUAAAAAAUGAACCAGUUUUGUUAAGUCACAGAUUGAAGCUGCUUUAAGUAAGCCGGUUGCAGUCCACUACCAUCAGCUGGAUAUCCAAGACUCAGACGAAGAAGAUCCUCCUCCCACCAAGGCAGAAACAACGACUCGUCUCCAAUUUUCCACCCUUGCUGCUAAUGCAGAGUUCCCUGGGUUCCUCAGGCUUUGGAGACAA